This 486-nucleotide ribosomal RNA is filed under the name uncultured bacterium. Its description in RNAcentral is "partial 16S ribosomal RNA". It matches the Rfam family "Bacterial small subunit ribosomal RNA", at positions 899 to 1397 of the family's 1533-position model. The record is from RNAcentral.
ACUCAAAGGAAUUGACGGGGACUUGCACAAGCGGUGGAUCAUGCGGCUUAAUUCGAUGAUAAACGAAGAACCUCACCAGGGCUAGAAAUCCAGACGACAGUCUUAGGAAACUAAGAUCUCCGCAAGGCGGCUGGACAGGUGAUGCAUGGUCGUCGUCAGUUCGUGGCUUGAGUUGUUCCCUUCAGUGGGGUAACGAACGCAACCCUCGUUGCCUGUUUUCAAUGUCAGGCGAGACUGCCCCCUCACGGGGGAGGAAGGUGAGGAUGACGCCAGAUCAGCAUGUCCCUUUGAUGUCCUGGGCUGCACGCAUGAUACAAUGGGCGCGACAACGCGACGCGACGGGGUAACCCUGAGCAAAUCGUAAUAAACGCGCCCCCAGUUCGGAUUGAGGUCUGCAACUCGACCUCAUGAAGCCGGAAUCGCUAGUAAUCGCGGGUCAGCUAUACCGCGGUGAAUACGUUCUCAAGUCUUGUACACACCGCCCGU